GACGAACGCUGGCGGCGUGCUUAACACAUGCAAGUCGAACGGAAAGGCCCUGCUUUUGUGGGGUGCUCGAGUGGCGAACGGGUGAGUAACACGUGAGUAACCUGCCCUUGACUUUGGGAUAACUUCAGGAAACUGGGGCUAAUACCGGAUAGGAGCUCCUGCUGCAUGGUGGGGGUUGGAAAGUUUCGGCGGUUGGGGAUGGACUCGCGGCUUAUCAGCUUGUUGGUGGGGUAGUGGCUUACCAAGGCUUUGACGGGUAGCCGGCCUGGGAGGGUGACCGGCCACAUUGGGACUGAGAUACGGCCCAGACUCCUACGGGAAGCAGCAGUGGGGAAUAUUGCACAAUGGGCGGAAGCCUGAUGCAGCAACGCCGCGUGCGGGAUGACGGCCUUCGGGUUGUAAACCGCUUUCGCCUGUGACGAAGCGUGAGUGACGGUAAUGGGUAAAGAAGCACCGGCUAACUACGUG
RNAcentral lists this ribosomal RNA (468 nucleotides) under uncultured bacterium. Its description in RNAcentral is "partial 16S ribosomal RNA". It matches the Rfam family "Bacterial small subunit ribosomal RNA", at positions 28 to 507 of the family's 1533-position model. The record is from RNAcentral.